CAUUUAGGUGAUGUUGUGUAUAUUGCAUUACUAGAAGUUGGUUCCUACGUGAAGCAGGGCAAAAAUUUUGGUGCAGUUGAGAGUGUCAAGGUUAAUGCAAGUCCAUUCGAGGAUGGCUGGAUCGUAAAGGUCAAAUCGAGCAACGAUGGAGAAGUGAAUUCAUUAAUGGAUUCCGAACAAUACUCAAAGUUCUACGAGGAAGAGGAUGCAAAGCAUUGAGGAUAUUCAUUUUCAAAAUCACUUCAUUGCCUCUGAAUUGGAAGGUUGGUAUUGAAUGGAGGUACCCAACUGAAGAUGGAUAG
This is a long non-coding RNA of Zingiber officinale, 302 nucleotides long. RefSeq lists it as uncharacterized. NCBI's taxonomy places the organism in Eukaryota, Viridiplantae, Streptophyta, Magnoliopsida, Zingiberales, Zingiberaceae. The transcript is spliced from 3 exons. The record is from RefSeq and is a predicted model, not a curated record.